This 5988-nucleotide long non-coding RNA is filed under the name Marmota monax (woodchuck). The record is from RNAcentral. Lineage: Eukaryota; Metazoa; Chordata; Mammalia; Rodentia; Sciuridae.
GCUCAAUUCUUCUUGAAUGGGUUCUUGAUGGCUGCAGUCAUCUGAGGAUAUCAGACCCUUGCUUCAAUUCUCCAGUAGCCUUUGGUCUUAGACUAGGGUAGCAUCAUUGAUCCCUCUUGUUCUGGGGCUUUAGCUUCUUGGACUGUGCAGCUACUGGUCCUUCCAGCUCUCCAGCCUGCAGAAGGCCAUCGUGGACUAUCUAGCUUCUGGUCGAGUAAGACAACUUAAUAAGUCUGCCUUUUAUAAUAAUACUUUCUGUUGAUUCUUUUCCUCUAGAGAACCCCUGACUAAUACAGUUGGUUUUGUGAAGUCAGCAGAUAUAUUUUUAAAUAAAGUACUAGACAAUCCAAUUACUUUAUUUCUUAUAUCUUUAGAUAAUAAGUAUUACUAGGUUCCUGUUUAUAAUGGAAAUUUCAAUUCUUUUUAAAAAAUUUUAUAUUUUUUGUACAUAGAUACAACUUUUUAAAAUGUUUUUUAUUUAUUUUUAUGUGGUGCUGAGAAUUGAACUCAGUGCCUCAUACAUGGGAGGCAAGUGCUAUACCACUGAGCUAUGGUCUCAGCCCUCAAUUCUUUUUUUUUUUUAAUAUUUAUUUUUUAGUUUUUGGCGGACACAACAUCUUUGUUUGUAUGUGGUGCUGAGGUUCGAACUCGGGCCGCACGCAUGCCAGGCGAGCGCGCUACCGCUUGAGCCACAUCCCCAGCCCCUCAAUUCUUAACUAUACAUUCAAAAUGUAUUUCUAGAAGAGAAUAAAAGCCGAAGUUGUUUGGAAAUGUGGUUAUUAGAUUUAAAUCACCCUGAAAUACUGUUUAAGGGCUAAUACUAACCAGUAAAGAACAUAUUCAUGAAUAUGUUUCACCAUUUUGAUUUUUGAAGUUUACGGUAUCAUUUUCUCUAUUUAUUUAUUUAUUUAUUAGUUGUUGAUAGAAGUUUAUUUUUCUUUGUUUAUAUGUGGUGCUGAGAAUUGAACCCAGUGCUUCACACAUGCUCGGCAAGUGCUCUACCACUGAGCCACCACCCCAGCCCCCAGUUGUACUGUUCUUAAGAGCAGACCUUUCCUUCAUAAAAAUAAAAUAAAUGGCAAUUUGUCUCCUGUGGAAAUCCUAAUUGCCUGAAUUACUGAUAUUUUAGAAAUAGACUGUUUUUAAAUGCCAUAUGUAAUUUUAUCAUGUUAACUAUAUAUCUUUGGCUUAAUAAAUUAUACGCUCAUUUUGUUGUCCACUAGUUUAAAAUAAUUUGUUUAAUAAGAAAUGUGUUUUUAGAGGAAAUGAAACACUGUUACGGAAUUAAUUUCCAAUUACACAGUUUUCUAUAACUUACUCAUAUAUGCUAUAUAUACUUUAUAUAAUUUCCCUAAAAAGAAUAAACUAUUACUAUGGUGUUAAACCAAAAUAUAGGAAACAUAAACACAAACUGCUGCUUAUGAUCAAUGUUGCUACUACUUGCUACACAUAUAAGCAUUUUACUUUUUUAUAUGUAUAGAUUUCAUUUUAAAAAUAUAUUUGCAUUUAAAAUAAAAAUAUAUAUUUUAGUGUUAUUAUAGAAAUGAUGUUUCUUGGUUCAUAGCUAUUAUACAAACUGAAAUGUUUUUGCAUGUAAUUUUGUUUUGUAUAUUCCUUGUAAAACUUUAUAACUGUUGCCUGUUAGUGUUUUGCAGCAUUGCUUCUUUUUUUUUUUUUAGUAUUUAUUUUUUAAUUUUAGGUGGACACAAUAUCUUCAUUUUAUCUUUAUGUGGUGUUGAGGAUUGAACCCAGUGCCUCCCGCAUGCCAGGUAAGUGCGCUACCAUUUAAGCCACAUCCCCAGCCCGCUGCAUUGCUUCUAAUAGGAUAAUCUGAAUUAAUUUGAGACAAUAGGCCAUCACCUAUAGGACAGAUAAUGCUGACUUCCCAGUACUAAUACUGACCCCAAUUAAUUAUAGACAUUAAAGUUAAAACCUAGCUACUCCUACUUCAAGACUGGUAAAACUGACCUACCUGCUAGAUGUUUAAAACCCAAAAUUUAUAGACCAAAAUCAAGGAAGUAAAAGGGCCAAGGAAAAAGUAGCCAAUAUUUUGGCCCUUGCCCUCUAAGGUCAGCUAGGAUGCAGGGAAAAAUGGGUCCCCUAUAAGGGCCCUGCAACUCUAGUGAGUCACCUGACCUCCUAAUCCCCUCUCUAGGGGAUCAAGAGGAUCCUAGAGAACAGGAAGUCAACUAGUGCACAUUCUUCAAAGUGGAGUGUCAUCGAAGAGGGAAAUGUGCCUGAUGUUUUCAAGGAAAGCCACAUGUGGUCAAAAAGACCCUGACCUGCCCUGACAGAUGGCACAUUUGGAAGAGGAAAAGCUAAAGGAGCCAAAAGGCUUCUCAUAAGUCCUUAGGGGUGAUCCCUGACAAAUAUCGGCUGACUCUAACAGUAUAUAGGAUAAAAGGUUAUUUUUUACCAACUCUCUCUUAGAUACCUGGCAGGAGAGUAUAACCCAAACACAGCUAUACAUGGACAUUUGAUAGAUAAUACAAUGAUUCUUUUAUCGUUAAUUUAGAUAACAUUUGUUUCAGUCCUCCUGAAAGUUAGUAAAACUGGGAGGUUCUAAAGGAAGGGUUUUUUAAACACAGAAGUGCCUGAUAAAUAUCACAAAAGCUCUGCCAAAGUCACAAGUUUGUUCUGAGUCAAUUUGAGACCUACACACUCUUUCUAACUUCCUGCAUAGGUGGACUUGAUCUGUGUCUCUGUUUUGUUGUUGUUGUUUCUAGUAUGAUUACUAUGAGCUGCUGCUCAGACUUCUCUGGAAUUCACAAUUCAUCACUUCCAGCUUGGAUUUAAUCAAGUCUUGGAAAGAAGACAAGCUUCAGCCGAGCUGGAAAGACCUUACUAAGUGCUUCUAAUGACCAGAAUGACUAUCUGAACUGCUAAAAAGGGGAGAACUCAUUAUCAUGAGUGAUUUCCACCUCAAAAAGUUAAUGUCUAGGAUGGAUGACAGUAUCAAAGGAUACAAGAACAAAAGUGAAAAUAAGAUAGAAAGGUAUAACAAGAAAAAGGGACAACUUCUGAGAAAUAGAAAGUUCAGUGGUCCAUUUUCAGAAUAAGAAUUGAGCCUUAAUUGGAAUAUAAGAUCCAAUCAUAGCCAUUUUGAGAUCCAAUUAUAGCCAUUUUUAACUAUUCCCCUUCUCUUUGCCCUCCCCAAUUUUAAAAUUAGCCCCUCACAUAGAUUGUAACCCAAAGCUCCUCCUAUCAAAGCAAGGGACAGUGCUGCCUUAGGGAUGAAAGCAUGUGGACUUCCUGCCGAAGUCUGCCUUGCUUGCCAGACUUUAUUCAGUAGCACAUCCUUCUGCAGAAGUAAAGUUUGGGGGCUGGGGCUGAAGCUCAAUGGUAGAGCACUUACCUAGCAUGUGUGAGGCACUGGGUUCAAUCUGUAGCACCACCUAAAAAUAAACAAUUAAAAUAAAGCUAUGCUGUCCAUCUACAAGUACAAAAAAAAAAAUUAAAGUUUGCCUUUACUUGUUGGAAGUAAUGCUCCUUACAACCAUGUGUUUGAUUCCUUGUGGCACCCCAGUGUUCUAAUACUUCUUUUGUGACUUGUCCAAUCAAGUCCUUGGCCCAUUUUUCCAUUUACUUUUCUGUAUUUCCCUAUAUAUUUGUAGGAACUCUUUGUAUAUUCUAGAUAUGAUUCUUUUGCUAGAAAAAAAAAUCUGUUGAAAAUACAUUUUCCACACUAUGGUUUACCUUUUUCGUUUUUAUUAUUUUUUUUUAAGAUGAACACGACAUCUUUAUUUAUUUAUUUUUAUGUGGUGCUGAGGAUUGAACCCAGUGCCUCACAUGUGUGAGGCAAGUGCUCUACCACUGAGCUAUAACUCCAGAACCCAUCUUUUUAUUUUCUGUAUUGUGUCUUUCAAUGAACAAAUUGUUAACUUUAAUACAGUUCAAUGUAUCUUUUUGGUUAAUAAAUUUUCUGCCCUGUUUAAAAAUCUUUGCCUACCCUAAGGUAAUGAAUAUAUUCUCUUAUGCUGAAACUUUAUUAUUUUACCUUUUAUAAACAUCUGGAAUAGAUUUUGUGUAUGGUCUGAGGUAGGGGUCAAGGUUUAGUGUUUGUGGAGGAAGAACAGAGGCUGUACUGGGAGCCUUAGAGUUCUACCUUAUACUGUAUUGAAUUGUUUGAGGAAGAAAGGGGCCAUAGGUCUUGUGUAUAUAUUUAAAUGUAUUUGGGUUGGGAGAAGGCCUUGGUCUGUGCCAGAGAACUCCUCGUGGUCCCCUGACUACUGGGCAUGGCUAUAUCCAUUCUGAGUUCCUUCUCCCAAUUAUCCCCUACCAACCCCUGAGACCCCACCCCUACCCCACCUUAGUUGCUGGAUCUAUUCACAUUCAUAAAGAUGGGAAUUGAUUUUCCACUUGUAGGAUUUUUCUACCAUACUCUCUGUCUUUAUUCACAUUCUGCAUUGUUAAUUAGUUCAGCCCCUCCCUCCAGACAAACAUUUUUUUUUGCUUUUAUCUGUAUUGCUAGAUGGAGAUUUUGGAUUAUAUCUCAAAAGUAGGUGCUUUGCUAGGGAGUGGUAGUGCACACCUAUAAUCCCAGCUGCUCUGGAGGCUGAGGCAGGAGGAUUGUGAGUUCAAAGCCAGCCUCAGCAAAAGCGAGGCACUAAGCAACUCAGUGAGACUCUGUCUCUAAAUAAAAUACAAAAUAGGGCUAGGGAUGUGGCUCAGCGGUCGAGUGACCCUAAAUUCAAUCCCUGGUAGCCCCCUCAAAAAGCAGGUAUAGUUUAUUUCAGCUUGUUCCUUUAGAAAAGAAAUCGUAUAAAUUUUUGUCUAUGUACAGGGCUCAUCCAAAUAGUCUCCAUGCUUUUGUGGAUAUAAUUUUAGUGAUGAAACAAGAUUUCUCUGUGUCUGAGAUGUCAGUUGGGGUCAUCUUUUCUUUUGAGAUUAGACAAAAUUGCUGCUAUUCCUUUACCUUAUAUAAAGGAAGAACUCUGGUGCCAUUCUAGAGCCUUCUAUGAAAUCUGGGAUGGGGAGGAGUUUAAUUUUUUCAUGAAUUCUCUCUCUUAUUAUUAUACAAGUCAGUGUUGAAUUUUAUUUGACUGAAGAAUUACCCUCUAUGAAUAGUCUACACGAUAUAAUUACACGUGAAAAUGUUUCCAAGGAAGUUGAGAAAACACGAAUUCAGUAAAAGCUGGAACUUGCUAAAAUGUGUUAUAAUUUGAUGAUGUCAGCUGGGCAUGGUGACCCAUGCUGUAAUCCAGUUACUCAGAAAGCUGAGGCAGUAGGAUCAUAAAUUCAAGUCCAGCCUGGGCAACUUAGCAAGACCCUGUCUCAAAAUAAGAAAUGUGAAAAUAUAAAAGACUGGCAAUGUAGCUCAGUGGGAGAGCUCCCCUGGAUUCAAUCCCUGGUACCAUCAAAACCAAAAACAAAACCCCCAAACAACUGAGUGGCAAAAAUAUAUGUAAAUAUAUGUAAAGCUGGGAUUACAGACUGUGGGUUUGAUCCUCACCACCAAAAAAAAAAAAAGGCAAAACAAACAAACACAAAACAAAAUAAGAUUAUGUGAAGCAGAAAAAAGCUUUGCAAGGCUUAUGAAAAUGUAAUUUGGGGAUGGGAAAGAGGAUAAAAUGAAUUGGACAUAGCUUUCCUGUGUUCAUAUAUGAAUAUACAACCAGUGUAACUCCAUAUCAUGUAGAACCACAAAAAUGGGAAGUUAUAUUCCCUGUAUGUAUGAUGUGUCAAAAUACAUUCUACUGUCAUGUACAAUUUAAAAGAAUACAUAAAGAUUUAAAGAAGCAAAUACAAAAAAGUAUAAUUUUAAAAAACUGUAUGUUUAUUAAUUGUGUGAAGUACUUUGCAGAAAAUAUUUGAAUCUAUCAUGUGUUAUUAAAUUAUUAAUGCAUUAUUAAACUAAUGUGUCAAUUUUAGUUUUCAUUUGUUCUCAUAAACUUAAUUAUUGCUGGGGCUGGGAGUUUUAGCUCAGUGACAGAGUGCUUACUUUUGUGUGUAAGGCCUUGUGUUUAAUUUCCAACAUCAUACAAUAAA